Molecule: long non-coding RNA, 1308 nt
Organism: Asparagus officinalis (garden asparagus)
Lineage: Eukaryota; Viridiplantae; Streptophyta; Magnoliopsida; Asparagales; Asparagaceae
Exons: 2
Source: RefSeq, a predicted model, not a curated record
UUUUGUUCAAUAGUAUGACUAUGAUUAAGUGAUCGAUCAUCAAGUUUUGCUCAUGCAUGGUUAGAGUCUUAAAUCUCUUUAAGAAAUUUAUGAGCCCUAGGGUUCAAAUUGUUUGGCAGAUUAAUUUUUCUAUUAGGAGUGCUUUUUGUGACCAUAUAAAGAGAAAACCUUAAAGCAUUAUCCUACUUUCUUCACAUCUCAGAUGAUCUAGCAAAAUCUCAAAUAAAUGACUUUUUUCUGGAGAAAUAUAAACGAUUUAAUUAUGGAAGUAUUAACAAAGUAAAUAUUAAUUAAAUAACUCAAUAAAUGCCAUUUUAUUAUUGUAUGAGAUUGAUGCAAGUAUAGUUAAAUUAAUUUAUACGUCCUAGAGUUUGUUGAAUGUUCCGUGCUCUAGCUUGCUCUUUGAACAAGUAUGCGUCUCAUGUCUUUUGUCAUCCCUAUUUAAAUUCUUCCAUAAAUCUAUCAUGAAAUUAAUGAUGCUAAUUUUUAGUAUUUUCUCUUUAUUUUUGACAAUCAUUUCAGGACGAAAUGAAGUAUAAAGACAUUCAUAUGCCCAAAUUAACUGUUGGCUCCAUAACAUUUAUACAGUGGCAAUUAUUAUCCUAUCAUUUCCAUUGUUUUCUCAUGCAUCUAGGAGUUAAUCAUUCAGAUAUCUAAGCCAUGAAAAGAAGAGAUGAGCAAUAUAUUAACUAGCUUCUCACAAACUCCAAGGUUUUAUUUUUGUUUCCCAAUGCAUUAGUUGCAUUGUAUAUUCUUUCUCCAUCAUCUCUUCUUUAAGAACGCAGUUACCUUUUCCAGGCUUGAUUUUAGGUUAGUUAUUGUCUAGUUAGUUACUCUCAUCAUUGCAAACUUGUAUAUAUUAUACAAUAUUCCAUUUACAACAAGGCUAUAUACACACGCAUAUCUAUCUAUCUAUAUAUAUAUGUGUGUGUGGGAGAGAGAGAGAGAGAGAGAGAGAGAGAGAGUAGCUAGUAGUAGCCCUCAUUUGAUACCAUUCGUGCUUUUGAACAAGGCAAAUGGGAGAAGAAAAAAAGAGGGAGACAGAUUAAGAAGCUUUACGUUUCUUUUUCCCCAUGGAGAAAAGAGAAGGUGCUGCAACUUCCUUUAUUGGUUUCAGAGAAAUGUGGGGAGAAAGAGGAGAAACUGUUCAUGUGGGGGACAUACUUGACCUCUAGAGGAUAAAAUUCUAGCCCACAAUGUUUAGCGUAUCUUCAGAGUUUUGAUGUAGUGGAAAAAAAGUUUAUCAUGUUAUUAAAGGUUUACUCGUUAUGCAAAAACUUAGGAUUAAUAUGAGAUUGAGGGUUUUAG